AGUGAACGCUGGCGGUAGGCCUAACACAUGCAAGUCGAACGGCAGCACAGGAGAGCUUGCUCUCUGGGUGGCGAGUGGCGGACGGGUGAGGAAUACAUCGGAAUCUACUCUGUCGUGGGGGAUAACGUAGGGAAACUUACGCUAAUACCGCAUACGACCUACGGGUGAAAGCAGGGGAUCUUCGGACCUUGCGCGAUUGAAUGAGCCGAUGUCGGGUUAGCUAGUUGGCGGGGUAAAGGCCCACCAAGGCGACGAUCCGUAGCUGGUCUGAGAGGAUAAUCAGCCAGACUGGAACUGAGACACGGGCCAGACUCCUAGGGGAGGCAGCAGGGGGGAAGAUUGGAGAAGGGGCGCAAGCCUGAUCCAGCCAUACCGCGUGGGUGAAGAAGGCCUUCGGGUUGUAAAGCCCUUUUGUUGGGAAAGAAAUCCAGCUGGCUAAUACCCGGUUGGGAUGACGGUACCCAAAGAAUAAGCACCGGCUAACUUCGUGCCAGCAGCCGCCGUAA
Molecule: ribosomal RNA, 506 nt
Filed under: uncultured bacterium
Lineage: Bacteria
Description: partial 16S ribosomal RNA
Rfam family: Bacterial small subunit ribosomal RNA
Source: RNAcentral